UACGUAGGGGCCAAGCGUUGUCCGGAUUUAUUGGGCGUAAAGAGCUCGUAGGCGGUUGGGUAAGUCGGGUGUGAAAUCUCAGAGCUCAACUCUGAAGCUGCACUCGAUACUGCUCUGCUUGAGGACUGGAGAGGAGACUGGAAUUCACGGUGUAGCAGUGAAAUGCGUAGAUAUCGUGAGGAAGACCAGUGGCGAAGGCGGGUCUCUGGACAGUUCCUGACGCUGAGGCGCGAAGGCCAGGGGAGCAAACGGG
RNAcentral lists this ribosomal RNA (253 nucleotides) under uncultured bacterium. RNAcentral's name for it is "partial 16S ribosomal RNA". It matches the Rfam family "Bacterial small subunit ribosomal RNA", at positions 524 to 776 of the family's 1533-position model. The record is from RNAcentral.